This 538-nucleotide ribosomal RNA is filed under the name Leptodactylus fuscus (rufous frog). RNAcentral describes it as "partial large subunit ribosomal RNA". It matches the Rfam family "Bacterial large subunit ribosomal RNA", at positions 1916 to 2604 of the family's 2925-position model. The record is from RNAcentral. Lineage: Eukaryota; Metazoa; Chordata; Amphibia; Anura; Leptodactylidae.
UGACUUUGUUCACGGCCGCGGUAUCCUAACCGUGCGAAGGUAGCGUAAUCACUUGUUCUUUAAAUGAGGACUAGUAUGAAUGGCACCACGAAGGUUAUACUGUCUCCUUUUUCUAAUCAGUAAAACUAAUCUUCCCGUGAAGAAGCGGGAAUAAAAAUAUAAGACGAGAAGACCCUAUGGAGCUUUAAACAAACAUACAAUUGCCUCUUCUCAUAAAAAUUUCAGAAAAAACACUUCUAUUUAGGCACUUUGAUAUAAAGUUUUAGGUUGGGGUGACCACGGAGUAAAAAACAACCUCCGCAGUGAAAGGGACUUUUUCCCCUAAACCAAGGGCCACGACCCUAAGAAUCAAUAAAUUGACACCAAUUGAUCCAAUUAAUUGAUCAAUGAACCAAGUUACCCUAGGGAUAACAGCGCAAUCCACUUCAAGAGCCCCUAUCGACAAGUGGGUUUACGACCUCGAUGUUGGAUCAGGGUAUCCUAGUGGUGCAGCCGCUACUAAUGGUUCGUUUGUUCAACGAUUAAAACCCUACGUGAU